This is a long non-coding RNA of Nicotiana attenuata, 1828 nucleotides long. RefSeq lists it as uncharacterized. The record is from RefSeq and is a predicted model, not a curated record. The transcript has 3 exons. Lineage: Eukaryota; Viridiplantae; Streptophyta; Magnoliopsida; Solanales; Solanaceae.
AACAAAUACAGAGAGAUGGAUGUAGCUAAAAGGCUAUGGACUCAGUAACUUCAAUAUGUAGCUUAUUGAUUUUCGUUCUAUAAAGGCUAAUUCUAGGUUUACUUGAAUUUAUUGCUUUCGCUUUAACUGUAUAUUCUCUUAUAUUAGAAAUAACAGUUGGGGUUUAAGCUAUCUGUGUUCUGCCUGGCUAUGACAUGCUUCUCUGGCGUUUCAACAGACCUCUACGAAAAGUAAGAGUCUUAAAGUUGAUAACUUAUACCAAGUAAUAUCUCACGGGAUAGAUAUUGCAAUUUACUUAGCUUGCACCCUCUCUGAAACUCUCCUGCUACUUUCUCACUCCUUUGUUCUUAUCUUCGAAGCUCUGUGGAAAAUUGAAGUAAGGGAAAACUCAGGUUGAAAUCACCUGACGCUGGGUUCGCUGCUACACCCGUGAACUGAUAUUUGGCAGCAACAAAUUUUAAUAUUGAUGGACUCUGGACAAACAAACAAACGUCCCUAUGAAAAGAAAUGUCCUGAUAGGAAUGUUAGACGACGCGAACAAUAUAAAGUUAAGAUGGCCAAUGAAAAGAGUGCACUAGCACUACACGAAGUGCUCACAAGUCAAGUGUUACAACAUAGUCGCUUUGAGAGAAUGACUUCUACCAUCUCUACUGAUACAUCAUCAGGACAUUUACAGUAUACUCCUAAUAUAAUGGACUCCUCCUAUACUUCCAAAACAGAGAGUAAAGUUACAUUGCUUCCAUCAUUUCCUGCUUUCGACAAACGAAAUCCUCUUUGCACUUAUGAGAAAGGCAAGUUACUGAAAUUUUGCAUAAGUUUACACUAAUAUACAAGACAUAUUAAUGUUAAUUAAAAAAUUACUUAUGUGGUAGGUUCAACAUCGGUUGUACCUAAUGAACAAAAUGACACAGCUGAGAUAGUGAUAACUAAAGGUUUGUAUUUGUGUCUUCUUUGAAUAAUAUCAUUUUGUGCUUACUGUUUCACUCCUUACAACCUCUAGAACAUGUAGGUCGCAGUCGAAAUAACAGAACUGCUAUGAAUAUUAAGCUACGGUCAGACUAUGUACCGUUAAAAAAGACUCAAAACUGUAAAUUCUGCUCUGCAAAAAGAUUUGAAUAUGAAUCUCCUGGAUUUUGUUUUGGCACUGGUACAGUUAAGAUAAUUUCACAUUGAAUGCCUGCUAAGCUUCAUAAUCUAUACUUCGAGAAUAAUGAAAAAUCCCAACACUUUCGAACAUACAUCAGAACAUAUAAUAAUUCGUUUGCAUUUACAUCACUUGGUGUAAAUUAUGAUACAGGCUUAGUGCGAAGGAAUCUUGGUAUCUAUACUUUCAGAGUUCAAGGACGAAUGUACCACCUAAUAGAUGAUUUGUAUCCCGGAGGGAAAAACCCAAAAAAUCUACAGUUGUACUUUUAUGACAACAACAAUGAGUUAGCAAAUAGAAUGGCAUGCUCUAACAAAGUCAAUGAAUCUAUAGUGAGUGAACUGAUGGACAUGUUGAAAGUUAACCUAUACUCCUUUUUUAUCCGAUCUUUGAUAGAUAUUCCUGAGCUACAGAACUUCCAUAUUGGACUCAAAUGUGAUCCUGAUUUAGGUCAGCGAGUAUAUAAUUUGCCAACUUCAUCAGAAAUUGCUGCAAUAUGGGUUGAGGACAAUGACAAUAAUAUAACGCAUGCCCCACAUAUUUAAAUUUAUACCCAUAGCAACAUAACACAAAUAGUGAACUAUUAUUACGGAUGUUAUGAUGCCUUACAAUAUCCUUUGUUGUUUCCAUACGGAUAAAAUGGGUGGCAUUGUGGUAUUAAGAAAAUUCCUAAAGCAAAAAAUA